UACAGAGGGUGCAAGCGUUGUUCGGAAUUAUUGGGCGUAAAGCGCGUGUAGGCGGCUUGGCAAGUCGGGUGUGAAAGCCCUCAGCUCAACUGAGGAAGUGCGCCCGAAACUGCUUUGCUUGAGUGCCGGAGAGGGUGGCGGAAUUCCCCAAGUAGAGGUGAAAUUCGUAGAUAUGGGGAGGAACACCGGUGGCGAAGGCGGCCACCUGGACGGUAACUGACGCUGAGACGCGAAAGCGUGGGUAGCAAACAGG
RNAcentral lists this ribosomal RNA (253 nucleotides) under uncultured bacterium. RNAcentral's name for it is "partial 16S ribosomal RNA". It matches the Rfam family "Bacterial small subunit ribosomal RNA", at positions 524 to 776 of the family's 1533-position model. The record is from RNAcentral.